UACGAGGGGAGGUAGCGUUAUUCGGAAUUACUGGGCGUAAAGCGCACGUAGGCGGCUUUGUAAGUUAGAGGUGAAAGCCCAGAGCUCAACUCUGGAAUCGCCUUUAAGACUGCAUCGCUUGAAUCCAGGACAGGUGAGUCGAAUUCCGAGUGUAGAGGUGAAAUUCGUAGAUAUUCGGAAGAACACCAGUGGCGAAGGCGGCUCACUGGACUGGUAUUGACGCUGAGGUGCGAAAGCGUGGGGGGCAAACAGG
RNAcentral lists this ribosomal RNA (253 nucleotides) under uncultured bacterium. Its description in RNAcentral is "partial 16S ribosomal RNA". It matches the Rfam family "Bacterial small subunit ribosomal RNA", at positions 524 to 776 of the family's 1533-position model. The record is from RNAcentral.